This 253-nucleotide ribosomal RNA is filed under the name uncultured bacterium. RNAcentral describes it as "partial 16S ribosomal RNA". It matches the Rfam family "Bacterial small subunit ribosomal RNA", at positions 524 to 776 of the family's 1533-position model. The record is from RNAcentral.
GACAGAGGGUGCAAACGUUGUUCGGAAUUACUGGGCGUAAAGGGCGCGUAGGCGGCCCGCUAAGUCGAACGUGAAAUCCCCAGGCUCAACCUGGGAACUGCGUCCGAUACUGGCAGGCUUGAAUCCGGGAGAGGGAUGUGGAAUUCCAGGUGUAGCGGUGAAAUGCGUAGAUAUCUGGAGGAACACCGGUGGCGAAGGCGGCAUCCUGGGCCGGUAUUGACGCUGAGGCGCGAAAGCUAGGGGAGCAAACGGG